CAGCCGCCACGGUAAUACGGAAGGUCCGGGCGUUAUCCGGAUUUAUUGGGUUUAAAGGGAGCGUAGGCCGCCCCUUAAGCGUGUUGUGAAAUGCGGGUGCUCAACAUCCGACUUGCAGCGCGAACUGGGGGGCUUGAGUGCGCCGAAAGUAGGCGGAAUUCGUGGUGUAGCGGUGAAAUGCUUAGAUGUCACGAAGAACUCCGAUUGCGAAGGCAGCUUACUGUAGCGCAACUGACGCUGAUGCUCGAAAGCGUGGGUAUCGAACAGGAUUAGAUACCCCUGUAGUCCCUGUCUCUUAUAU
This 301-nucleotide ribosomal RNA is filed under the name uncultured bacterium. Its description in RNAcentral is "partial 16S ribosomal RNA". It matches the Rfam family "Bacterial small subunit ribosomal RNA", at positions 509 to 809 of the family's 1533-position model. The record is from RNAcentral.